Molecule: ribosomal RNA, 425 nt
Filed under: uncultured bacterium
Lineage: Bacteria
Description: bacterial SSU rRNA
Rfam family: Archaeal small subunit ribosomal RNA
Source: RNAcentral
UUCCCUACGGGGGGCUGCAGGCGCGAAACCUCUGCAAUGCGGGAAACCGUGACAGGGGGAUCCCAAGUGCUCAUGCAUUGCAUGGGCUGUUCUUUGGUCUAAGUAACCAGAGGAGUAAGGGCUGGGCAAGACCGGUGCCAGCCGCCGCGGUAAUACCGGCAGCUCAAGUGGUAGCCGCGAUUAUUGGGCCUAAAACGUUCGUAGCCGGAUAAGUAAGUCUUUGGUUAAAUCCUGCGACUUAACCGUGGGAAAUCUAGAGAUACUGCUUGUCUUGAGACCGGGAGAGGUUGGAGGUACUCCUAGGGUAGGGGUGAAAUCCUGUAAUCCUAGGGGGACCACCUGUGGCGAAGGCGUCCAACUGGAACGGGUCUGACGGUGAGGGACGAAACCUAGGGGAGCGAGCCGGAUUAGAUACCCUGGUAGUC